RNAcentral lists this ribosomal RNA (373 nucleotides) under uncultured bacterium. RNAcentral describes it as "bacterial SSU rRNA". It matches the Rfam family "Bacterial small subunit ribosomal RNA", at positions 526 to 896 of the family's 1533-position model. The record is from RNAcentral.
GUAGGCGAGCGAGCGUUGUCCGGAUUUACUGGGCGUAAAGGGCGCGUASSCGGUCUGUUAAGUAUGAAGUGAAAUCUCCAGGGCUCAACCCGGAAACCGCUUUGUAAACUGGCAGACUGGAGGAAGGCAGAGGUGAGUGGAAUUCCCGGUGUAGCGGUGACAUGCAUUGAUAUCGGGAGGAACACCCAUGGCGAAGGCAGCUCACUGGGCCUUUCCUGACGCUGAGGCGCGAAAGCGUGGGUAGCAAACAGAAUUAGAUACUCUGGUAGUCCACGCCCUAAACGAUGGAUGCUAGGCGUGAGGGGUAUCGACCCCCCUUGUGCCGCAGCUAACGCAUUAAGCAUCCCGCCUGGGGAGUACGGCCGCAAGGUUG